RNAcentral lists this ribosomal RNA (605 nucleotides) under uncultured bacterium. RNAcentral's name for it is "bacterial SSU rRNA". It matches the Rfam family "Bacterial small subunit ribosomal RNA", at positions 1 to 569 of the family's 1533-position model. The record is from RNAcentral.
UCCCAUAUGGUCGACCUGCAGGCGGCCGCGAAUUCACUAGUGAUUAGAGUUUGAUCAUGGCUCAGAUUGAACGCUGGCGGCAUGCCUUACACAUGCAAGUCGAACGGCAGCGCGGGGCAACCUGGCGGCGAGUGGCGAACGGGUGAGUAAUAUAUCGGAACGUACCCUGGAGUGGGGGAUAACGUAGCGAAAGUUACGCUAAUACCGCAUACGAUCUAAGGAUGAAAGUGGGGGAUCGCAAGACCUCAUGCUCCUGGAGCGGCCGAUAUCUGAUUAGCUAGUUGGUGGGGUAAAGGCCUACCAAGGCAUCGAUCAGUAGCUGGUCUGAGAGGACGACCAGCCACACUGGAACUGAGACACGGUCCAGACUCCUACGGGAGGCAGCAGUGGGGAAUUUUGGACAAUGGGCGAAAGCCUGAUCCAGCAAUGCCGCGUGAGUGAAGAAGGCCUUCGGGUUGUAAAGCUCUUUUGUCAGGGAAGAAACGUGAGAGCUAAUAUCUUUUGCUAAUGACGGUACCUGAAGAAUAAGCACCGGCUAACUACGUGCCAGCAGCCGCGGUAAUACGAAUCGAAUUCCCGCGGCCCGCAUGGCGGCCGGAAGCAUG